RNAcentral lists this ribosomal RNA (554 nucleotides) under uncultured bacterium. RNAcentral's name for it is "bacterial SSU rRNA". It matches the Rfam family "Bacterial small subunit ribosomal RNA", at positions 252 to 803 of the family's 1533-position model. The record is from RNAcentral.
GUGGGGCAACGGCCCACCAAGCCGACGAUGCGUAGGGGUUCUGAGAGGAAGGUCCCCCACAUUGGAACUGAGACACGGUCCAAACUCCUACGGGAGGCAGCAGUGAGGAAUAUUGGUCAAUGGCCGGAAGGCUGAACCAGCCAAGUCGCGUGAGGGAAUAAGGCCCUACGGGUCGUAAACCUCUUUUGUCAGGGAGCAAGGCCGCCCACGUGUGGACGGAAGGAGAGUACCUGGAGAAAAAGCAUCGGCUAACUCCGUGCCAGCAGCCGCGGUAAUACGGAGGAUGCGAGCGUUAUCCGGAUUUAUUGGGUUUAAAGGGUGCGUAGGCGGCCUGCCAAGUCAGCGGUAAAAUUGCGGGGCUCAACCCCGUACAGCCGUUGAAACUGCCGGGCUCGAGUGGGCGAGAAGUAUGCGGAAUGCGUGGUGUAGCGGUGAAAUGCAUAGAUAUCACGCAGAACCCCGAUUGCGAAGGCAGCAUACCGGCGCCCUACUGACGCUGAGGCACGAAAGUGCGGGGAUCAAACAGGAUUAGAUACCCUGGUAGUCCGCACAGU